CUCCCUUCCUCGGCCCUCUUUAUCUUUUUAUGUCUUCAAGGAUGGGUUAAUAGGACUAGUUUGGAAGUUGUAAAUCUUGAUUUAUCAAUGUGAGCCCUUAUAUAAUUGUCUGGAAUGUGACUUGUGGGUAUAAAAUGCAUGCUAGGCUUAGGUUUGAGGAUUAAAGUAAGAGGCUGACGCCUUUUGGGUUAGUGUGUGAAUUAGCAAAUUGAAAAUCUUGAAAUCAUGUUUGUAAUUUCAUGAAUCUGAUUCUCAUAUGCAUACUGGGGUUUAGCUUUCUGGAUUGAAGAAAAUAAUCCCUGGCUUAGGCUUUUUGAAUGCAUUUAUUUCAUGCUCUAAACUUGCCCCUAGUCCUGGUAAUGUAUAUGUCAUCUAAAGGUUGUUGCCUUGCUUAUUCAACAUCUUUUCUUUUCUUUUUUUUUUUGUAAACAUUUUAUUGCGAUAUUACUUCUUCUGAACUGUAAUUGUUGUGCCUCAAAGAUUUAGCCAUAUAUGUUUGCUCCCUAGCCUGGUGACAAUUUUUUAGGCCAACAACAUGGGGAAAAAGCUUCCUUGGAUAAGAAAGAGAAAAGCCAAGAAAUAAUCCUUUGGUCCUGGAACAAAAUGCGAUAUUAAGGGAGUUGGAUGAUGUGGGAGGCCGUGGGUGCCUGAACUCCCAGGUAUUGAAAUGGUAGUUUCUCCCUAAGCUCUAGAAACAUGCUUAUGAAAUAAACUAUGUUUUGGGGCCUUGGAGUCUGUGCAACCAAGACCCAUCACACAACCAAACUGACUCCUUGUACAGUAGCCUCCAAUUUAUCAGUAAGUUCACUGGAGAAUGAAUGGUGAGACCGUGUCAAAGCAGUGCAAGAGACGAGUUUAAGAUGAGGAACAAGUGUUGGUGUUAGCCAUUUUCAGGCUCUGGUACUUGGCCCAAAGCAAUGUUUGUGGAAUAAGGAAAAUCUCAAUGAAUCUUUGUAUUAAUUUCUAGUAUUUAUACAAUAGAUUGCGUCAUUUUGAAUAGUAUUACAAAUUGAUAAUGUUCAUGCACAAUUAUUUAUCUAAAUCAAAAUGAUAGUUUCUCUUACUGCUCAUGGUGAUGAAUAAUCAUGAAUGACAUGGACUCUAGUUGCUUGAAAGCAAUUUUAUAUGAUUCCAUAUUUGUUGGUGUUUGGCCUUGGAAUGUAGAAAUUGCUGAUGUAAGAUAUAUUUUCUUUUUGUAACCUUUUUGGUGAUACCUCAGUGAGAAAUUAGGUGUGCAAAACUUUUCUAGUUUAAAGUUAUUUGUGGGCAUCUUUUAACAAGAACUUUUUUAGCAGAUAUUUUUAUCACUAUGAUACUAUGGUAGCAGGGUCUAAGAUUAUGGCCUUGUGAUUGCAAUGCAACAUUAGUAUUGAGCAGCCGGUCUCUCACUUUGAGGUUAAUUAUUUUUGUUCCGAUAAAACAUAUGGUGUUUGAAGGGUCAUAUUCUUUAUGCUACUGUUAUUCAUUUUUGUCAAGAGCUUGUGAUGUAGUAAGAAACUUAUUUUUGCAUCCACCUCUAUCUCUCUCUCUCUCUCUCUCUCUCUCUCUCUCCCCCCUUACGUUGGUGUACCUCACUUGUAUGCAUUUACUGGAGUUUAGUUUAUACUUUAUA
This is a long non-coding RNA of Hevea brasiliensis (rubber tree), 1612 nucleotides long. RefSeq lists it as uncharacterized. Lineage: Eukaryota; Viridiplantae; Streptophyta; Magnoliopsida; Malpighiales; Euphorbiaceae. The record is from RefSeq and is a predicted model, not a curated record. The transcript has 2 exons.